This 1343-nucleotide ribosomal RNA is filed under the name uncultured bacterium. RNAcentral describes it as "16S ribosomal RNA". It matches the Rfam family "Bacterial small subunit ribosomal RNA", at positions 28 to 1378 of the family's 1533-position model. The record is from RNAcentral.
GACGAACGCUGGCGGCGUGCUUAACACAUGCAAGUCGAACGGAAAGGCCCUGCUUUUGUGGGGUGCUCGAGUGGCGAACGGGUGAGUAACACGUGAGUAACCUGCCCUUGACUUUGGGACAACUUCAGGAAACUGGGGCUAAUACCGGAUAGGAGCUCCUGCUGCAUGGUGGGGGUUGGAAAGUUUCGGCGGUUGGGGAUGGACUCGCGGCUUAUCAGCUUGUUGGUGGGGUAGUGGCUUACCAAGGCUUUGACGGGUAGCCGGCCUGAGAGGGUGACCGGCCACAUUGGGACUGAGAUACGGCCCAGACUCCUACGGGAGGCAGCAGUGGGGAAUAUUGCACAAUGGGCGGAAGCCUGAUGCAGCAACGCCGCGUGCGGGAUGACGGCCUUCGGGUUGUAAACCGCUUUCGCCUGUGACGAAGCGUGAGUGACGGUAAUGGGUAAAGAAGCACCGGCUAACUACGUGCCAGCAGCCGCGGUGAUACGUAGGGUGCGAGCGUUGUCCGGAUUUAUUGGGCGUAAAGGGCUCGUAGGUGGUUGAUCGCGUCGGAAGUGUAAUCUUGGGGCUUAACCCUGAGCGUGCUUUCGAUACGGGUUGACUUGAGGAAGGUAGGGGAGAAUGGAAUUCCUGGUGGAGCGGUGGAAUGCGCAGAUAUCAGGAGGAACACCAGUGGCGAAGGCGGUUCUCUGGGCCUUUCCUGACGCUGAGGAGCGGAAGCGUGGGGAGCGAACAGGCUUAGAUACCCUGGUAGUCCACGCUGUAAACGGUGGGUACUAGGUGUGGGGUCCAUUCCACGGGUUCCGUGCCGUAGCUAACGCUUUAAGUACCCCGCCUGGGGAGUACGGCCGCAAGGCUAAAACUCAAAGGAAUUGACGGGGCCCCGCACAAGCGGCGGAGCAUGCGGAUUAAUUCGAUGCAACGCGUAGAACCUUACCUGGGUUUGACAUGGAUCGGGAGUGCUCAGAGAUGGGUGUGCCUCUUUUGGGGUCGGUUCACAGGUGGUGCAUGGCUGUCGUCAGCUCGUGUCGUGAGAUGUCGGGUUAAGUCCCGCAACGAGCGCAACCCUUGUUCACUGUUGCCAGCACGUUAUGGUGGGGACUCAGUGGAGACCGCCGGGGUCAACUCGGAGGAAGGUGGGGAUGACGUCAAGUCAUCAUGCCCCUUAUGUCCAGGGCUUCACGCAUGCUACAAUGGCUGGUACAGAGAGUGGCGAGCCUGUGAGGGUGAGCGAAUCUCGGAAAGCCGGUCUCAGUUCGGAUUGGGGUCUGCAACUCGACCUCAUGAAGUCGGAGUCGCUAGUAAUCGCAGAUCAGCAACGCUGCGGUGAAUACGUUCCCGGG